CCUACGGGGGGCAGCAGUGGGGGAUAUUGCACAAUGGGGGAAACCCUGAUGCAGCGACGCCGCGUGUGGGAAGACGGUCCUCUGGAUUGUAAACCACUGUCCCCAGGGACGAAGAUGACGGUACCUGGGGCGGAAGCUCCGGCUAACUACGUGCCAGCAGCCGCGGUAAUACGUAGGGAGCGAGGGUUGUCCGGAAUUACUGGGUGUAAAGGGAGCGUAGGCGGGACUGCAAGUUGGGUGUCAAAUCUACCGGCUCAACCGGUAGCCGCACUUAAAACUGCAGUUCUUGAGUGAAGUAGAGGCAGGCGGAAUUCCUAGUGUAGCGGUGAAAUGCGUAGAUAUUAGGAGGAACACCAGUGGCGAAGGCGGCCUGCUGGGCUUUUACUGACGCUGAGGCUCGAAAGUGUGGGGAGCAAACAGGAUUAGAUACCCGUGUAGUC
Molecule: ribosomal RNA, 440 nt
Filed under: uncultured bacterium
Lineage: Bacteria
Description: partial 16S ribosomal RNA
Rfam family: Bacterial small subunit ribosomal RNA
Source: RNAcentral